UUCUGGUUGAUCCUGCCGGAGGCCAUUGCUAUCAGGGUUUGACUAAGCCAUGCGAGUCGAGAGGUGUAAGACCUCGGCAUACUGCUCAGUAACACGUGGUUAACCUGCCCUAAGGUGGAGCAUACUCCCGGGAAACUGGGGCUAAUCCUCCAUAGUGGAUGUAUCCUGGAAUGGUAUAUCCUCGAAAGAUCCGUCGCCUUAGGAUGGACUGCGUCCGAUUAGGUUGUUGGCGGGGUAACGGCCCACCAAGCCAUUGAUCGGUACGGGUUGUGGGAGCAAGAUCCCGGAGAUGGAUUCUGAGACAUGAAUCCAGGCCCUACGGGGCGCAGCAGGCGCGCAAACUUUACAAUGCGAGCAAUCGUGAUAAGGAAACCCUGAGUGCCUGUCGAUGCAGGCUGUUCAUAUAUCUAAAUCAUAUGUGAAGAAAGGGCUGGGCAAG
This 439-nucleotide ribosomal RNA is filed under the name uncultured archaeon. Its description in RNAcentral is "bacterial SSU rRNA". It matches the Rfam family "Archaeal small subunit ribosomal RNA", at positions 1 to 450 of the family's 1478-position model. The record is from RNAcentral.